Molecule: transfer RNA, 66 nt
Filed under: Paroedura picta
Lineage: Eukaryota; Metazoa; Chordata; Lepidosauria; Squamata; Gekkonidae
Description: tRNA-Gly
Source: RNAcentral
ACUACCUUAGUAUAAGUGUACAGGCGGUUUCCACCCACCAAGUUCUGCCACUGGCAGAAGGCAGUA